RNAcentral lists this non-coding RNA (213 nucleotides) under Clostridium sp. RNAcentral describes it as "T-box sequence". It matches the Rfam family "T-box leader". From Rfam's summary of the family: Uncharged tRNA acts as the effector for transcription antitermination of genes in the T-box leader family. The record is from RNAcentral. Lineage: Bacteria; Bacillati; Bacillota; Clostridia; Eubacteriales; Clostridiaceae.
CAAAAGGUCUGGAACAGGAGAGUAGCCGAAGAACGAUAUUUCAGAGAGCACGGCGUUAGCUGGAAUCCGUGCAUAUCGGAGAUCGGUGAACGGCACCUGCGAACCGCGCGGUCGAAAGGGAAGUACACCGCGACGCCUCGUCUGCGUUAUCGGACAAAAGCGGAGCAAGAAAUUGCUCAAAUUGGGUGGCACCGCGGGUUUCCCGUCCCUUUU